GAUGAACGCUGGCGGCGUGCCUAAUACAUGCAAGUCGAGCGAACAGAGGAGGAGGUUUCUCUCUUUACGAAAGCGGGGGACGGGGGAGUAAAACGUGGGUAACCAACCUAUAAGACUGGGGUAAAUUAGAGAAACCGGAGCCUAUACCGGAAAAUAUAUACAAAAGAACGGAUGAAGAGGGAAGGACAGGUUGCGCGAGAAUUAUCGAAGGAACGGAGCCGCAUUAGCUAGUUGGUAGGGUAACGGCUUACCAAGGCAACGAUGCGUAGCCGACCUGAGAGGGUGAUCGGCCACACUGGAACUGAGACACGGUCCAGACUCCUACGGGAGGCAGCAGUAGGGAAUCUUCCGCAAUGGGCGCAAGCUUGACGGAGCAACGCCGCGUGAGUGAUGAAGGUCUUCGGAUCGUAAAGCUCUGUUAUUAGGGAAGAACAGAUGUAUAAGUAACUAUUCACGUCUUGACGGUACCUAAUCAGAAAGCCACGGCUAACUACGUG
Molecule: ribosomal RNA, 497 nt
Filed under: uncultured bacterium
Lineage: Bacteria
Description: partial 16S ribosomal RNA
Rfam family: Bacterial small subunit ribosomal RNA
Source: RNAcentral